CCUACGGGAGGCAGCAGUGAGGAAUAUUGGUCAAUGGCCGAGAGGCUGAACCAGCUAAGCCGCGUGAGGGAAGAAUGUCCUAUGGAUUGUAAACCUCUUUUGUCAGGGAGCAAAGUCACCCACGUGUGGGUGUUGGAGAGUACCUGAAGAAAAAGCAUCGGCUAACUCCGUGCCAGCCGCCGCGGUAAUACGGGGGAUGCGAGCGUUAGCCGGAUUUAUUGGGUUUAAAGGGUGCGUAGGCGGGUUAUCAAGUCAGCGGUAAAAUCGUGGAGCUCAACUCCAUCCAGCCGUUGAAACUGAUGAUCUUGAGUGGGCGAGAAGUAUGCGGAAGGCGUGGUGUAGCGGUGAAAUGCAUAGAUAUCACGCAGAACUACGAUUGCGAAGGCAGCAUACCGGCGCCCGACUGACGCUGAAGCACGAAAGCGUGGGUAGCGAACAGGAUUAGAUACCCGGGUAGUC
RNAcentral lists this ribosomal RNA (459 nucleotides) under uncultured bacterium. RNAcentral describes it as "partial 16S ribosomal RNA". It matches the Rfam family "Bacterial small subunit ribosomal RNA", at positions 338 to 795 of the family's 1533-position model. The record is from RNAcentral.